This 264-nucleotide ribosomal RNA is filed under the name Cyclophora tenuis. RNAcentral describes it as "partial Bacterial large subunit ribosomal RNA". It matches the Rfam family "Bacterial large subunit ribosomal RNA", at positions 1645 to 1893 of the family's 2925-position model. The record is from RNAcentral. Lineage: Eukaryota; Bacillariophyta; Fragilariophyceae; Cyclophorales; Cyclophoraceae.
UACCCCAAACCGACACAGGUGGUCGGGUAGAGGAUACCAAGGCGCUUGAGAGAACUCAGGUGAAGGAACUAGGCAAAAUAGUACCGUAACUUCGGGAUAAGGUACGCUUUUUUGGGUGAGAACCUUUACGGUUUAAGCCUGAAAGAGCCGCAGAGAAAUGGUGGCUGGGACUGUUUAACAAAAACAUAGCACUCUGCAAACCUGAAAGGGGAAGUAUAGGGUGUGACACCUGCCCGGUGCUGGAAGGUUAAAUGAUGGGGUUAG